GCCCUUGUAGCUCAGCGGACAGAGCGACCGCCUCCGGAGCGGUAGGCCGCGGGUUCGAACCCCGCCAAGGGCAC
RNAcentral lists this transfer RNA (74 nucleotides) under Bifidobacteriaceae bacterium MCC01966. RNAcentral's name for it is "tRNA-Arg". It matches the Rfam family "tRNA". Rfam says of the family: Transfer RNA (tRNA) molecules are approximately 80 nucleotides in length. Their secondary structure includes four short double-helical elements and three loops (D, anti-codon, and T loops). Further hydrogen bonds mediate the characteristic L-shaped molecular structure. tRNAs have two regions of fundamental functional importance: the anti-codon, which is responsible for specific mRNA codon recognition, and the 3' end, to which the tRNAs corresponding amino acid is attached (by aminoacyl-tRNA synthetases). tRNAs cope with the degeneracy of the genetic code in two manners: having more than one tRNA (with a specific anti-codon) for a particular amino acid; and 'wobble' base-pairing, i.e. permitting non-standard base-pairing at the 3rd anti-codon position. The record is from RNAcentral. Lineage: Bacteria; Bacillati; Actinomycetota; Actinomycetes; Bifidobacteriales; Bifidobacteriaceae.